AAAAAGCCAGUGAAAGAACGAGUACGCAGCAAAUGGCACUUUAAAGAGAGAACUACCUUGGCUGAAAGUAGUUUAGGACAUGCGGCAGAAAGACAGUCUGGAGGCGAGUGCGUGCAAAGCCACUCCGCGAGCGAGCGUUAUUCGCAUUGAGGAAAGCAUGAAGCUUUCAAAUUUAGGUGGUACCGCGAGAUUAUUCGCCCUUGUG
This 205-nucleotide non-coding RNA is filed under the name Enterococcus saccharolyticus. RNAcentral describes it as "T-box sequence". It matches the Rfam family "T-box leader". Rfam says of the family: Uncharged tRNA acts as the effector for transcription antitermination of genes in the T-box leader family. The record is from RNAcentral. Lineage: Bacteria; Bacillati; Bacillota; Bacilli; Lactobacillales; Enterococcaceae.